Molecule: long non-coding RNA, 212 nt
Organism: Nematolebias whitei (Rio pearlfish)
Lineage: Eukaryota; Metazoa; Chordata; Actinopteri; Cyprinodontiformes; Rivulidae
Exons: 3
Source: RefSeq, a predicted model, not a curated record
GUACAGAGGGGCUUUCUGUGAAGCCAAGAUUAAGACCGCCAAGAGGCUCGUCAAGGCCAAGGUGACCUUUAAAUCGGACCUGUCCACAGCCGAGGUCCACGACGAAAACAUCAAAGGACCCUUAAAGGUGGGCGUUGUUGUGGAGGUGAAGAAUCAGGACGGAGUUUACCAACAAGCCACCAUCAACAAGCUGACCGAUGCUAGUAUUUAUA